GGACCAUUUUGAAGGAAUUAGGACCGGUCUUUAGCUGCAGGACUGUCCUGUCGUCUCCUGAUGCUGCUGCAGCACGACUACCCUUCUCUCUCUGUGGUCCUCCAUGAAUUUUAGGAGAGAAAGGUGCCACUUGCUGCUGCCGGGCGGACGGUGUGAUGAAAGUGUCUGAAGUAUUGAGGAUCCUUCUCAUUGUAAAGAGUUUGGUGUUCAGCAAUGCAGAGUGUCCUGUUGUCUCCUGCUUUGUGGACGCACCAGCAGCUCUGACCUGUGGUUGUAACCUCCAGAUUCCACUGGAUGCCUGUCCACACGCUUAGGCAGAUUACAAUCACAUUGUAAUGACUGAAAGUAGCAUCUUAUCAUAUGAACGUCAUUCAGAUUUGAAAUACACUUGGCGCAGGCUUGUUUUAUCACUUCUUCAUAUUUCACAUUUCAUUUUCAUUCACCUCUUUUAUAAUUGUCUAUAAAGUGAAUUAUUACAAUUUACUUUAAAGAAAAAGGUGUGAAAGGGAUGUGAGCCACAAAGUAAUUUGCUACUUUUAUUGCGCCUU
RNAcentral lists this long non-coding RNA (548 nucleotides) under Neogobius melanostomus (round goby). Its description in RNAcentral is "lncRNA (ENSNMLG00000026787.1)". The record is from RNAcentral. Lineage: Eukaryota; Metazoa; Chordata; Actinopteri; Gobiiformes; Gobiidae.